This 468-nucleotide ribosomal RNA is filed under the name uncultured bacterium. Its description in RNAcentral is "partial 16S ribosomal RNA". It matches the Rfam family "Bacterial small subunit ribosomal RNA", at positions 28 to 507 of the family's 1533-position model. The record is from RNAcentral.
GACGAACGCUGGCGGCGUGCUUAACACGUGCAAGUCGAACGGUGAAGCUCCAGCUUGCUGGAGUGGAUCAGUGGCGAACGGGUGAGUAACACGUGAGCAACCUGCCCCUGACUCUGGAAUAAGCGCUGGAAACGGCGUCUAAUACUGGAUACGAGAAGGGUCCGCAUGGGCACUUUCUGGAAAGUUUUUCGGUUGGGGAUGGGCUCGCGGCCUAUCAGCUUGUUGGUGAGGUAAUGGCUCACCAAGGCGACGACGGGUAGCCGGCCUGAGAGGGCGACCGGCCACACUGGGACUGAGACACGGCCCAGACUCCUACGGGAGGCAGCAGUGGGGAAUAUUGCACAAUGGGCGAAAGCCUGAUGCAGCGACGCCGCGUGAGGGAUGACGGCCUUCGGGUUGUAAACCUCUUUCAGCAGGGAAGAAGCGAAAGUGACGGUACCUGCAGAAGAAGCACCGGCUAACUACGUG